AAAGGGAGACCUAAUUCAGGUAAAAGACGAAAAAAAAGUAGUCGCUACCAAGAAUCAAUCCCAAAAGGUCGGAGCGAGGCGAAAUUGGCUUUCAAACUAGGUUCUGGGUUCAAACAAGACCUGAAUCAGGAACAAGGGCUAUUAGCUCAGGUGGUUAGAGCGCACCCCUGAUAAGGGUGAGGUCCCUGGUUCGAGUCCAGGAUGGCCCACCUGCACAGGUGGCAAAAACAAGAGAAGCGAGGAAUCAGCACCUUAUCCUACUUAUAUAGUAAGAGAGAAUGCUGGCUCUGAGUAAAGAGUCCAGAGGAACCUUGAAAACUGCAUAGAGCUAGGUGAAAAAGCCAAAAAAGAAGACCGCAAG
Molecule: transfer RNA, 361 nt
Filed under: uncultured Microcystis sp.
Lineage: Bacteria; Bacillati; Cyanobacteriota; Cyanophyceae; Chroococcales; Microcystaceae
Description: partial 16S-23S ribosomal RNA intergenic spacer
Rfam family: tRNA (bases 136-209)
Source: RNAcentral